This 207-nucleotide ribosomal RNA is filed under the name uncultured bacterium. RNAcentral's name for it is "partial 16S ribosomal RNA". It matches the Rfam family "Bacterial small subunit ribosomal RNA", at positions 568 to 774 of the family's 1533-position model. The record is from RNAcentral.
AGCGUAGACGGUGAGACAAGUCUGAAGUGAAAUCCCGGGGCUCAACCCCGGAACUGCUUUGGAAACUGCCUGACUGGAGUGCAGGAGAGGUAAGUGGAAUUCCUAGUGUAGCGGUGAAAUGCGUAGAUAUUAGGAGGAACACCAGCGGCGAAGGCGGCUUACUGGACUGUAACUGACGUUGAGGCUCGAAAGCGUGGGGAGCAAACA